RNAcentral lists this small RNA (96 nucleotides) under Pedobacter sp. AK013. Its description in RNAcentral is "Flavo-1 RNA". It matches the Rfam family "Flavo-1 RNA". Lineage: Bacteria; Pseudomonadati; Bacteroidota; Sphingobacteriia; Sphingobacteriales; Sphingobacteriaceae. The record is from RNAcentral.
UUUUAAACCCGACAGCAGCGAUACCCUUUUUUGUUAUUAAUAAAUUAACAUUUAACCGUAAUUAAAAAAAAGGUAAAGCGAAUGGCGGGACCGCUG